GCCUCCUUAGCUCAGUUGGUAGAGCAGUGGACUCUUAAUCCAUGGGUCACAGGUUCGAGCCCUGUAGGGGGCAUCA
This 76-nucleotide transfer RNA is filed under the name Streptococcus salivarius. RNAcentral's name for it is "tRNA-Lys". It matches the Rfam family "tRNA". From Rfam's summary of the family: Transfer RNA (tRNA) molecules are approximately 80 nucleotides in length. Their secondary structure includes four short double-helical elements and three loops (D, anti-codon, and T loops). Further hydrogen bonds mediate the characteristic L-shaped molecular structure. tRNAs have two regions of fundamental functional importance: the anti-codon, which is responsible for specific mRNA codon recognition, and the 3' end, to which the tRNAs corresponding amino acid is attached (by aminoacyl-tRNA synthetases). tRNAs cope with the degeneracy of the genetic code in two manners: having more than one tRNA (with a specific anti-codon) for a particular amino acid; and 'wobble' base-pairing, i.e. permitting non-standard base-pairing at the 3rd anti-codon position. The record is from RNAcentral. RNAcentral also lists the same sequence under 26 other names. Lineage: Bacteria; Bacillati; Bacillota; Bacilli; Lactobacillales; Streptococcaceae.